This 253-nucleotide ribosomal RNA is filed under the name uncultured bacterium. Its description in RNAcentral is "partial 16S ribosomal RNA". It matches the Rfam family "Bacterial small subunit ribosomal RNA", at positions 524 to 776 of the family's 1533-position model. The record is from RNAcentral.
UACGUGAGGGGCGAACGUUGUUCGGUGUCACUGGGCUUAAAGGGCGCGUAGGUGGCUGUGCAAGUAAGGUGUGAAAGCCCUCGGCUUACCCGGGGAAUUGCGCCUUAAACUGCAUGGCUUGAGGGUCUCAGGGGAUAGGGGAACUCCAGGUGUAGCGGUGAAAUGCGCAGAUAUCUGGGAGAAGGCCGGUGGCGAAGGCGCCUAUCUGGGAGAUUCCUGACACUGAGGCGCGAAAGCGUGGGGAGCAAACAGG